RNAcentral lists this ribosomal RNA (218 nucleotides) under uncultured bacterium. RNAcentral's name for it is "partial 16S ribosomal RNA". It matches the Rfam family "Bacterial small subunit ribosomal RNA", at positions 57 to 305 of the family's 1533-position model. The record is from RNAcentral.
GCAAGUCGAGCGCACCUUCGGGUGAGCGGCGGACGGGUUAGUAACGCGUGGGAAUAUACCUAGUUCUAAGGAAUAGCCUCGGGAAACUGAGAGUAAUACCUUAUACGCCCUUCGGGGGAAAGAUUUAUCGGAAUUAGAUUAGCCCGCGUUAGAUUAGAUAGUUGGUGGGGUAAUGGCCUACCAAGUCUACGAUCUAUAGCUGGUUUGAGAGGAUGAUC